RNAcentral lists this ribosomal RNA (547 nucleotides) under uncultured bacterium. Its description in RNAcentral is "bacterial SSU rRNA". It matches the Rfam family "Bacterial small subunit ribosomal RNA", at positions 355 to 896 of the family's 1533-position model. The record is from RNAcentral.
GGGGGAAUUUUGGACAAUGGGCGCAAGCCUGAUCCAGCCAUGCCGCGUGCGGGAAGAAGGCCUUCGGGUUGUAAACCGCUUUUGGCAGGAACGAAACGGCGACUCCUAAUACGAGUCGUUAAUGACGGUACCUGCAGAAUAAGCACCGGCUAACUACGUGCCAGCAGCCGCGGUAAUACGUAGGGUGCAAGCGUUAAUCGGAAUUACUGGGCGUAAAGCGUACGCAGGCGGCUUUGCAAGACAGGUGUGAAAUCCCCGGGCCUAACCUGGGAACUGCAUUUGUGACUGCAUGGCUAGAGUCUGUCAGAGGGGGGUGGAAUUCCACGUGUAGCAAUGAAAUGCGUAGAGAUGUGGAAGAACACCGAUGGCGAAGGCAGCCCCCUGGGAUGAGACUGACGCUCAUGUACGAAAGCGUGGGAGCAAACAGGAUUAGAUACCCUGGUAGUCCACGCCCUAAACGAUGUCUACUAGUUGUCGGAGGGUAACUCCUUCGGUAACGCAGCUAACGCGUGAAGUAGACCGCCUGGGGAGUACGGUCGCAAGAUUA